CCUAGUUAAUUCUGCUAGUAGUUAUAUACUUGUCUUAAAGAUUAAGCUAUAUAUAUCUAAGUAUAAGUAAUUAUACUGUAAAACUGCAAAUAGCUUAUUAAAUUAGUUAUUAUUUAUUUGAUAGUACUUUACUACUUAGAUAACUGUAGUAAUUCUAGAGCUAAUAUAUACUGAAAACCCUAACUUUAGGAGGGGUGUAUAUAUUAGAUAAAAAACUAACGCCCUUUAGGGCUUCUUAGUGAUUUAUAAUAUCUUUACAGAUUGUAUAGCCUUACGCCAGCAACAGUUUAUUUAAAUUUCUACUCUAUUAACUUUUAAUAGUAAGGUAUUAGCUUACUAUAGUUUUAAUAGGUAAUAGGGAAUUAGAGUUUGAUUCUAGAGAGGGAGCCUAAGAAAUAGCUACUAUAUCUAAGGAAGGCAGCAGGCGCGCAAAUUACCUAAUUCUAAUAUAAGGAGGUAGUAAUAAUAAAUACUAAUACAGGGCUCUUUUAGGUCUUGUAAUUAGAAUAAGUAUAAUUUAAACCUCUUAAUAAGAAAUAAUUAGAGAGUAAGUCUAGUGCUAGCAGCUGCAGUAAUUCUAGCUCUAAUAGCGUAUAUUAAAGUUAUUGCAGUUAAAAAGCUUGUAGUUAAACUUUAGGUCUAGCUAGCAGGUCUGCCUUACUACGUGUACUUGUCUAGCUAAGCCUUUCUUCUAGAGAACUUUAUACUCUUUACUAGGCGUAUUAGAGACUAGGACUUUUACUUUGAAAAAAUUAGAGUAUUUAAAGUAGACCUUUGCUUGAAUACGUUAGUAUAGAAUAAUAGAAUAGAAUAUGUAGUUCUAUUUUAUUAGUUUCUAGGACUGCUGUAAUAAUUAAUAGAGACAGUUAGAGGUAUUAGUAUUUAAUUGUUAGAGGUGAAAUUCUUGGAUUUAUUAAAGACUAACUACUGCGAAAGUAUUUGCUAAGGAUAUUUUUAUUAAUUAGUAAACGAAAGUUAGAGGAUUGAAGAUAAUUAGAUACUGUCGUAGUCUUAACUGUAAACUAUACCAACUAGAGAUUAGGUGAUGUUCUUUUUCUGACUCGCUCGGCAUCUUAUAAGAAAUUAAAGUUUUUAGGUUCUAGAGGGAGUAUAGUUGUAAGGCUAAAACUUAAAGAAAUUAAUAGAAGGGUACUACUAGGCGUGGAGCCUGCGGCUUAAUUUGACUUAAUAUAGGGAAACUUACUAGGUCUAGAUAAAAUAAGGAUUAAUAGAUUGAGAGCUCUUUCUUAAUUUUUUAGGUGGUAGUAUAUAGCUGUUCUUAGUUAGUAGAGUGAUUUAUCUACUUAAUUGCAAUAAUAAACGAGACCUUAACCUGCUAAAUAGCUAGGCUAGCUUUAGCUAGUUACUAGCUUCUUAGAGAGACUAUUAGCU
Molecule: ribosomal RNA, 1392 nt
Filed under: Phaeosphaeriaceae sp. UM 1110
Lineage: Eukaryota; Fungi; Ascomycota; Dothideomycetes; Pleosporales; Phaeosphaeriaceae
Description: SSU rRNA
Rfam family: Eukaryotic small subunit ribosomal RNA
Source: RNAcentral